UCCAAAUCCAUGGUUGAUCUUUGCUUCCAUACCGUUCUGGAGGCAGGUCAAAAGGUACAGGAAAAGAUGUUGCUGAAUCUUUACCUUCUGAAAGCAUGUUUCCCUUCACAUGAAAGUAACCUUUGUCCAAUCCAAAUGCUGAAGGCAAGAAAAGGACUCCAAGUUCAUAUGAACGGAUCAUCAGUUGGGUGCCAUUUUUCUCCAGAGCUCCC
RNAcentral lists this long non-coding RNA (212 nucleotides) under Gallus gallus (chicken). Lineage: Eukaryota; Metazoa; Chordata; Aves; Galliformes; Phasianidae. The record is from RNAcentral.